RNAcentral lists this long non-coding RNA (592 nucleotides) under Gallus gallus (chicken). Lineage: Eukaryota; Metazoa; Chordata; Aves; Galliformes; Phasianidae. The record is from RNAcentral.
GCUUGUUGUGCAGCGGAGUUUGCUACAGCGUCCUUGACCAUAUCUCCAACAUGGAGUACUGCGUCCAGAUGUGGAGUCCUCCGUACAGAAGAGACAUAACCUGUUGGAGCGCAUCCAGAGAAGGGCCACAAAAAUGAUCCAAGGCUCCUGUUGUCAAACAGCAAGUCCGAGGGCCCCUGGAAAGAAAUAAUCAGCCGAGGUGCGGCGAGGGACGAGGCCACACACCCAUAUGGUUUCUAGUAGCCAAGCAAUUUAAUAACUGCACACAGCCGUUUAUAUAGAGCGGUACAAAUAACAUGCUAAGUACAACAAGGCAUGGUUCUCAUAACUUGCAGUUGCUUGCAGCUUGUCUCACGGCACCUGACACAGUGGUCUCUAUCGCAGCUCCGCAUUCCUUUCGCCUACUCCAAUCAUUGUUCUGUGUGAAACAGUGAUCCAUAGCAGCUGUUUUGCUUGCACUGACCCAGGGGGAGAUAAACAUGACCUCCCUGGGUCAGCUGUCCAUCCACAAUUUCCUCGUUCUUUUCUUGCACAAGCAAAACAGCCGAGGUAACCUUCGAGAGCAUUUUCUUAAAAAACAGCAAUAACCGAA